UUACCAUGCAGUCGAACGAUGAUCCUGGAGCUUGCUCUGGGGGAUUAGUGGCGAACGGGUGAGUAACACGUGAGUAACCUGCCCUUGACUCUGGGAUAACCUCCGGAAACGGAAGCUAAUACCGGAUAUGACGCACGGAGGCAUCUCCUGUGCGUGGAAAGAAUUUCGGUCAAGGAUGGACUCGCGGCCUAUCAGGUAGUUGGUGAGGUAAUGGCUCACCAAGCCUACGACGGGUAGCCGGCCUGAGAGGGUGACCGGCCACACUGGGACUGAGACACGGCCCAGACUCCUACGGGAGGCAGCAGUGGGGAAUAUUGCACAAUGGGCGAAAGCCUGAUGCAGCAACGCCGCGUGAGGGACGACGGCCUUCGGGUUGUAAACCUCUUUUAGUAGGGAAGAAGCGAAAGUGACGGUACCUGCAGAAAAAGCACCGGCUAACUACGUGCCAGCAGCCGCGGUAAUACGUAGGGUGCAAGCGUUGUCCGGAAUUAUUGGGCGUAAAGAGCUCGUAGGCGGUUUGUCGCGUCUGCUGUGAAAUCCCGAGGCUCAACCUCGGGUCUGCAGUGGGUACGGGCAGACUAGAGUGCGGUAGGGGAGAAUGGAAUUCCUGGUGUAGCGGUGGAAUGCGCAGAUAUCAGGAGGAACACCGAUGGCGAAGGCAGUUCUCUGGGCCGUAACUGACGCUGAGGAGCGAAAGCGUGGGGAGCGAACAGGAUUAGAUACCCUGGUAGUCCACGCCGUAAACGUUGGGCGCUAGAUGUGGGGACCAUUCCACGGUUUCCGUGUCGCAGCUAACGCAUUAAGCGCCCCGCCUGGGGAGUACGGCCGCAAGG
This 833-nucleotide ribosomal RNA is filed under the name Leifsonia sp. HAP2-1_Pa. RNAcentral describes it as "bacterial SSU rRNA". It matches the Rfam family "Bacterial small subunit ribosomal RNA", at positions 49 to 893 of the family's 1533-position model. The record is from RNAcentral. Lineage: Bacteria; Bacillati; Actinomycetota; Actinomycetes; Micrococcales; Microbacteriaceae.